GUGCCAGCCGCCGCGGUAAUACGUAGGGUGCGAGCGUUAAUCGGAAUCACUGGGCGUAAAGCGUGCGUAGGCGGUCUGUUAAGUCAGAUGUGAAAUCCCUGGGCUUAACCUAGGAACUGCAUUUGAAACUGGCAAGCUAGAGUCUCGUAGAGGGGGGUAGAAUUCCAGGUGUAGCGGUGAAAUGCGUAGAAAUCUGAAGGAAUACCGGUGGCGAAGGCGGCCCCCUGGACGAAGACUGACGCUCAGGUACGAAAGCGUGGGGAGCAAACAGGAUUAGAUACCCGUGUAGUCC
Molecule: ribosomal RNA, 292 nt
Filed under: Sodalis endosymbiont of Rhizoecus sp. 5
Lineage: Bacteria; Pseudomonadati; Pseudomonadota; Gammaproteobacteria; Enterobacterales; Bruguierivoracaceae
Description: partial 16S ribosomal RNA
Rfam family: Bacterial small subunit ribosomal RNA
Source: RNAcentral